Molecule: ribosomal RNA, 253 nt
Filed under: uncultured bacterium
Lineage: Bacteria
Description: partial 16S ribosomal RNA
Rfam family: Bacterial small subunit ribosomal RNA
Source: RNAcentral
UACAGAGGGUGCAAGCGUUAAUCGGACUUACUGGGCGUAAAGGGUGCGUAGGCGGGAGCUUAAGUUAGUUGUGAAAGGCCUGGGCUUAACCUAGGAACUGCAAUUAAGACUGGGCAUCUAGAGUUGAGUAGAGGGGAGCGGAAUUUCCGGUGUAGCGGUGAAAUGCGUAGAUAUCCGGAGGAACACCGGUGGCGAAGGCGGCUUCCUGGACCGACACUGACGCUGAGGCGCGAAAGCUAAGGGAGCAAACGGG